GAUGAACGCUGGCGGCGUGCUUAGCACAUGCAAGUCGAACGAUGAAGCCCAGCUUGCUGGGUGGAUUAGUGGCGAACGGGUGAGUAACACGCGAGUAACCUGCCCUUGACUCUGGGAUAAGCCUGGGAGACUGGGUCUAAUACUGGAUAUGACUUCUCAUCGCAUGGUGGGGGGUGGAAAGAUUUAUUGGUCUUGGAUGGACUCGCGGCCUAUCAGCUUGUUGGUGAGGUAAUGGCUCACCAAGGGGACGACGGGUAGCCGGCAUGAGAGGGUGAACGGCGUCCAGACGACUGAGACACGGAGCAGAAUCCAACGGGACGCAACGGUCGAGAAUAUUACGGAAUGAGGGCAAGCGUGAUACAGCGGCGCUCGGUGCGGGAUGCCGGGUUACGGGUUGUAAACAACUUUGUGUAGAGAUGUAGAGGGCGUGACGGUACCUGAAGAAAAAGCGACGGCUAACUACGUG
RNAcentral lists this ribosomal RNA (466 nucleotides) under uncultured bacterium. Its description in RNAcentral is "partial 16S ribosomal RNA". It matches the Rfam family "Bacterial small subunit ribosomal RNA", at positions 28 to 507 of the family's 1533-position model. The record is from RNAcentral.